AAAAAAAAAUGCAACUACCUUCAUCUCUGCUGCAGACGCAAAUAGAUUUGCUGUGUAUGUUUGUCAGCACAACAUCACUGGGUAAAACUUGUCUCAUUUUCCCUCUUGAUGAGCUCUUUGUGGCAAGACCAGAACAACGGCCAUCUUUAGAGUUUACAAAUCCUCCCACAGAUUUCUACUCAGGAUUCCUUGAGCGCCACGUCUCUCUCGCGUAUCUGUGCUAGCACGUUCCCGCCUCUUUACUUAUUUUGUUGUGAUACUUUCUGGUGUAACCAGGCUUUUAUAGUAUCCAUUACUCAAUUACAAGUAAAUAUGAAAGAAAUGCUAUGAAUAUGUGGAAUACUUUGAUUUAAUUACAGUAUCAGUUCAUUCUUUUUGUGGGCUUUUUCUCCUUUUCCCACCAGAUGCAUUUACUAGUCACUUUGGAACAGUGUUUGCACAAGCUUACAUGUCUACAAAUUGAUGUCUGUGAUUCUGCGUGCGUGCAUGCGUGGAUGUCCAACUGCUUGUUCUCUAUGUGGGUGUUUGUGUUCUUCGUGUGUGCAUGUCAUUUAGAUGGAGAGAGGGGGACUGAGAGGUGAAAAAAGAAAGAAAGAGGGGGAGAGAGAGCUUGGAGGCGGGUUGGAUCUGAUUACGGGCUGGAAUGGCUGGGAGGGUUUGCGGUGGAGCGCUUUCUCAAUAGUGCAUUCCUAUGUGCGUGCCGAGGCAGGAUCAGCAGCUCCACUCUGGCCUCUGCCAGAGGGAUUGAGCAAAAAAAAAAAAAAAAGGAAGAAAAAAAAGAGAAAAAACAAAGGACGUCGUCAGAACAAACAGCUUGUCAGGACUCACAUUUAGUGGGCUCUUGCUAAAUAGCAGGAUAGAAGAUGAGUCAUUCACACAUCCAGUGCCAGCCUCCAUCAUACUGGAACAUAGUUUUAACAGGCCUCCUGUGUUAUAUGAGGCCUGCUGAUAUUGUUGAAGAUAGGACCAGGAUGGUGUGUAUUGUUUCUGAAUGCUCAGUGGAUGCUGAAUUUUACAUGCCCACUGAAAGUGUCAGCAAUGAGUGGAGUGACCUUUAAAGAAGGAAGCUGACUUUUUUAGACGCCCAAUGGUUUGCUUGGGCCAAAAUUGUGUGUAUGUGUGUGUGCGCUCCAGCAGGAAACUUUUGACAACUGUAGAAAUCAGCACUUUAGUCAACACCUGUAUGCUAGCGUGACCCCUCACUACAGGAAAAUUCAAAGACUCACCUGCUCUGUCAGGGAAAAUGCUAAAUGUCGCCAAUGGGCACCUGGCAUCACAUGCACAUGCUCACACACAUGCACCCACACAAACACCACUUAACAAAUCUGACCUUUGCCUGUCGGUUUCUUGGUCUAACCGUCUGGUUUGCUGUUUUGUCAGUUAACGCCAGACUGUUUCUCUUCCUGUUUCUCCAGAUUCACCACUUUCUCUCUUCUCCUUUCACACACACGCACAUACGCACACUUUCGAGUGCUUCCUGUGCAUCAGGUUCAGAUUUUUGACACAACUCAGUGAGCAACGCAGAGGUUCCCAUGCCUAAAACUGAUAAGGAGGC
Long non-coding RNA from Astatotilapia calliptera (eastern happy), 1555 nucleotides. Lineage: Eukaryota; Metazoa; Chordata; Actinopteri; Cichliformes; Cichlidae. The record is from Ensembl.